GUGGGGAAUCUUCCGCAAUGGGCGAAAGCCUGACGGAGCAACGCCGCGUGAGUGAAGACGGCCUUCGGGUCGUAAAGCUCUGUUAUAUGGGACGAACGUAUUUAUGGCCAAUACCCAUAGAUAGUGACGGUACCGUAAGAGAAAGCCACGGCUAACUACGUGCCAGCAGCCGCGGUAAUACGUAGGUGGCAAGCGUUGUCCGGAAUUAUUGGGCGUAAAGGGCGCGCAGGCGGCCGGUCAAGUCUGUCUUAAAAGUGCGGGGCUCAACCCCGUGAUGGGACGGAAACUGGCAGGCUGGAGUGUCGGAGAGGAAAGCAGAAUUCCUAGUGUAGCGGUGAAAUGCGUAGAUAUUAGGAGGAAUACCAGUGGCGAAAGCGGCUUUCUGGACGACAACUGACGCUGAGGCGCGAAAGCUAGGGGAGCGAACGGGAUUAGAAACCCGAGUAGUCC
RNAcentral lists this ribosomal RNA (450 nucleotides) under uncultured bacterium. Its description in RNAcentral is "partial 16S ribosomal RNA". It matches the Rfam family "Bacterial small subunit ribosomal RNA", at positions 354 to 796 of the family's 1533-position model. The record is from RNAcentral.